This 555-nucleotide long non-coding RNA is filed under the name Elaeis guineensis (African oil palm). RNAcentral's name for it is "long non-coding RNA (EGUI_LNC040393)". Lineage: Eukaryota; Viridiplantae; Streptophyta; Magnoliopsida; Arecales; Arecaceae. The record is from RNAcentral.
CAAGUUUGAUCACAAUCAAGAUAAUAUUCUAACCUUUGAUUGUAUAAAUCAAGAUAGGCUUUGAUACCACUAUUAGAUUUUGAUGAUGCAGUGAAAGGAUUAGGUGUUUAAAAUUUUCAUUCAAAAUACUUGAUGCACCAAAACCCUAAUGCCCAAGAACCCUUGAUUAUAACAAUCAAAGCAUAAUUAAAUUAAACUUAGACAAGAAGAAUACCUAUAGCACUAAUCCUAAUUUUAGCAAAGCUUUCACUAGGUGCCCAAGUAUUCAUCCUCUAACGGUGAUCCACACAAAAAAUGAACCAAAGACAGUUUUCCUUCUUCAACUUGCUUCAAGAGUUCUAGCCCCUAGAACUCGACUAGCCACCAGUCGAUCAAACUUUCUUUCAGAUCUGAGUCUGAACCUCUCAAAACCACCCACUAAACCUGACCACCUUCUUUUGGACCUCUUAAAACCUUAGAGCUAUUAAGAAAAGGCUUGUCUUAAGAAAACAAGCCUUUGUCCUAAACCCUAGAGUUGUAAGAGAGGAAGAGAGGGAGUGGAUAAGGGAUGUAAGA